This 491-nucleotide ribosomal RNA is filed under the name uncultured bacterium. RNAcentral's name for it is "partial 16S ribosomal RNA". It matches the Rfam family "Bacterial small subunit ribosomal RNA", at positions 29 to 506 of the family's 1533-position model. The record is from RNAcentral.
AGUGAACGCUGGCGGUAGGCCUAACACAUGCAAGUCGAACGGCAGCACAGUAAGAGCUUGCUCUUACGGGUGGCGAGUGGCGGACGGGUGAGGAAUACAUCGGAAUCUACUUUUUCGUGGGGGAUAACGUAGGGAAACUUACGCUAAUACCGCAUACGACCUACGGGUGAAAGCAGGGGAUCUUCGGACCUUGCGCGAUUGAAUGAGCCGAUGUCGGAUUAGCUAGUUGGCGGGGUAAAGGCCCACCAAGGCGACGAUCCGUAGCUGGUCUGAGAGGAUGAUCAGCCACACUGGAACUGAGACACGGUCCAGACUCCUACGGGAGGCAGCAGUGGGGAAUAUUGGAAAAUGGGCGCAAGCCUGAUCCAGCCAUACCGCGUGGGUGAAGAAGGCCUUCGGGUUGUAAAGCCCUUUUGUUGGGAAAGAAAAGCAGCAGGUUAAGACCCCGCUGUUCUGACGGUACCCAAAGAAUAAGCACCGGCUAACUUCGU